CAUAGGUUAAUGAGGCGAACCGGGGGAACUGAAACAUCUAAGUACCCCGAGGAAAAGAAAUCAACCGAGAUUCCCCCAGUAGCGGCGAGCGAACGGGGAGCAGCCCAGAGCCUGAAUCAGUAUGUGUGUUAGUGGAAGCGUCUGGAAAGGCGCGCGAUACAGGGUGACAGCCCCGUACACAAAAAUGCACAUGCUGUGAGCUCGAUGAGUAGGGCGGGACACGUGGUAUCCUGUCUGAAUAUGGGGGGACCAUCCUCCAAGGCUAAAUACUCCUGACUGACCGAUAGUGAACCAGUACCGUGAGGGAAAGGCGAAAAGAACCCCGGCGAGGGGAGUGAAAAAGAACCUGAAACCGUGUACGUACAAGCAGUGGGAGCACGCUUAGGCGUGUGACUGCGUACCUUUUGUAUAAUGGGUCAGCGACUUAUAUUCUGUAGCAAGGUUAACCGAAUAGGGGAGCCGAAGGGAAACCGAGUCUUAACUGGGCGUUAAGUUGCAGGGUAUAGACCCGAAACCCGGUGAUCUAGCCAUGGGCAGGUUGAAGGUUGGGUAACACUAACUGGAGGACCGAACCGACUAAUGUUGAAAAAUUAGCGGAUGACUUGUGGCUGGGGGUGAAAGGCCAAUCAAACCGGGAGAUAGCUGGUUCUCCCCGAAAGCUAUUUAGGUAGCGCCUCGUGAAUUCAUCUCCGGGGGUAGAGCACUGUUUCGGCAAGGGGGUCAUCCCGACUUACCAACCCGAUGCAAACUGCGAAUACCGGAGAAUGUUAUCACGGGAGACACACGGCGGGUGCUAACGUCCGUCGUGAAGAGGGAAACAACCCAGACCGCCAGCUAAGGUCCCAAAGUCAUGGUUAAGUGGGAAACGAUGUGGGAAGGCCCAGACAGCCAGGAUGUUGGCUUAGAAGCAGCCAUCAUUUAAAGAAAGCGUAAUAGCUCACUGGUCGAGUCGGCCUGCGCGGAAGAUGUAACGGGGCUAAACCAUGCACCGAAGCUGCGG
Molecule: ribosomal RNA, 1000 nt
Filed under: Escherichia coli
Lineage: Bacteria; Pseudomonadati; Pseudomonadota; Gammaproteobacteria; Enterobacterales; Enterobacteriaceae
Description: partial 23S ribosomal RNA
Rfam family: Bacterial large subunit ribosomal RNA
Source: RNAcentral